GUGACGGCGUGCUUUUUGUAGAACGAUCCAGCGAGUUAAUUUCAUGCGCCAGGUUAAGUCAAGUGACGGAGCCACAGUGAAAGCGAGCCUGAAUAGGGCGAUAAGUGUAUGGGAUUAGACCCGAAACCGGGUGACCUAACCAUGAGCAGGUUGAAGCUGCGGUAACACGCAGUGAAGGACCGAACCAGUUUGCGCAGUAAAGCAUUUGGAUGACUUGUGGUUAGCGGUGAAAUGCCAAUCGAACUCGGAGAUAGCUGGUUCUCCUCGAAAUAGCUUUAGGGCUAGCGUCAUGUAAUAUAGCCAACGGGGGUAGAGCUCUGUAAACGACUGGGGCGGGCAACUGUACCCACCGUUAACAAACUACGAAUACCGUUGGUGGUACCAUGGCAGUUAGAACAUCGGGGCUAAGCUCGGUGCUCAAAAGGGAAACAGCCCAGACCAUCAUCUAAGGUCCCUAAAUUAACACUAAGUGGGAAACAAGGUGAAAUUUCUUAAACAGCGAGGAUGUUGGCUUAGAAGCAGCCAUUCAUUUAAAGAGUGCGUAACAGCUCACUCGUCAAGAGAUUUUGCGUGGAAAAUGUAACGGGGCUAAAGUGUUAUACCGAAGAUAUGGAUUUCGUUAUUCCUACGGGUUUAACGGAGAGAAUCCUUUCGGCCGUAAGAGCGAGGUUUCCAGGGCUACUGUAAUAAUCCCUGGGUUAGUCGGGCCUAAGCCGAGGCGUAGCAGCGUAGGCGAUGGAUAUCAGGUUAAUAUUCCUGAACCGGUUAUAAUUUGUAUACUGUGUACGGUAAAUUAGUCGAAGCGGAUUAUUGGUAUAUAUCCGUCCAACUUAGCGGGAACGCAAAAGGAGUGAAAGUUAAUCUACGGAUUAACGAUUUUGAUGAAAGUACUGGCUAGAAAAGCAGAUAUACGUGUGGUUAUAGCCGCCCGUACCGCAAACCAACACAGGUGCUCGAGUCGAGUAGACUCAGGCUUACGAGAGACCCUUCGCUAAGGAACUCGGCAAAACAGCGACCGUAACUUCGGGAUAAGGUCUGCCUCCGCAUCAUUCGAUGCGAGUCGUGUUUCAAGCAAUUAGGUUAAGAUUAAUGGUAUAUAUGAGUAUCUUAAACUUCUUUACCGAGAUAGAACAAGUCAAAUGGCUUAGCUUGGAACGUGGCAAACUCGUAUCAAACGAUGCGGAGGCCGCAGCAAAAGAGCCCACGGAACUGUUUACCAAAAACACAGGUCUCUGCGAACACGAAAGUGGAUGUAUAGGGGCUGACUCCUGCCCAGUGCUGGAAGGUUAAGGGGAGUGCUUUACGGUGCGAACUGAAGCCCCAGUGAACGGCGGCGGUAACUAUAACCGUCCUAAGGUAGCGAAAUUCCUUGUCAGGUAAGUUCUGACCCGCACGAAUGGAGUAAUCAUGUGGGCACUGUCUCGGCGAAGGACUCGGUGAAAGUGCAUUGGCGGUAAAGAUGCCGUCUGUCCAUGCCAGGACGAGAAGACCCCAUGGAGCUUUACUACAGCUUUACAUUGACACGGGUUACAUCAUGUGUAGCAUAGGUGGGAGGCUUUGAAUCAGAUACGCCAGUAUUUGUGGAGCCACAGGUGAAAUACCACCCUUGAUGUAGUCUUUGUCUUACCAUUGCCGUUAUCCGGUAAUGGGACCGUGUAUGGUGGGUAGUUUAACUGGGGCGGUUGCCUCCUAAAGAGUAGCGGAGGCGUUCAAAGGUUGGCUAGCUUCGGAUGGAAAUCGAAGUGAUAGUGCAUGCGCAAAAGCCAGCUUGACUGCGAGAAUUACAAUUCGACCAGAGUGGAAACACGGAGCAAGUGACCCGCUGUAAGAACAUUGUUCAUUGAAUGUGGGAUCGACAGCGCACACGGAUAAAAGUUACCCUGGGGAUAACAGGCUUAUCGCGCCCAAUAGUUCACAUAGACGGCGCGGUUUGGCACCUCGAUGUCGGCUCAUCACAUCCUGGAGGGGGAGCACCUUCCAAGGGUUCGGCUGUUCGCCGAUUAAAGUGGUACGCGAGCUGGGUUCAG
RNAcentral lists this ribosomal RNA (2027 nucleotides) under human oral metagenome. RNAcentral describes it as "bacterial LSU rRNA". It matches the Rfam family "Bacterial large subunit ribosomal RNA", at positions 593 to 2614 of the family's 2925-position model. The record is from RNAcentral.